GAUAAGGUCAGCUAAAUAAGCUUUCGGGCCCAUACCCCGAAAAUGAUGGUUAAACCCCAUCCCCUAUCA
RNAcentral lists this transfer RNA (69 nucleotides) under Rasbora hobelmani (Kottelat rasbora). RNAcentral's name for it is "tRNA-Met". It matches the Rfam family "tRNA". From Rfam's summary of the family: Transfer RNA (tRNA) molecules are approximately 80 nucleotides in length. Their secondary structure includes four short double-helical elements and three loops (D, anti-codon, and T loops). Further hydrogen bonds mediate the characteristic L-shaped molecular structure. tRNAs have two regions of fundamental functional importance: the anti-codon, which is responsible for specific mRNA codon recognition, and the 3' end, to which the tRNAs corresponding amino acid is attached (by aminoacyl-tRNA synthetases). tRNAs cope with the degeneracy of the genetic code in two manners: having more than one tRNA (with a specific anti-codon) for a particular amino acid; and 'wobble' base-pairing, i.e. permitting non-standard base-pairing at the 3rd anti-codon position. The record is from RNAcentral. RNAcentral also lists the same sequence under 2 other names. Lineage: Eukaryota; Metazoa; Chordata; Actinopteri; Cypriniformes; Danionidae.